UUAAUACAACCCUAUGCGGUGGAUCACUUGGCUCGCGAGUCGAUGAAGAGCGCAGCAAACUGCGUGAAUUAAUGUGAUUUGCAGGACACAUUGAUCAUCGAUAUCUUGAACGCAUAUUGCGGUUAUGGAUCGCUUCCAUGACCACACCUGUCUGAGGGUCGGUAUU
Molecule: ribosomal RNA, 166 nt
Filed under: Brachionus calyciflorus
Lineage: Eukaryota; Metazoa; Rotifera; Eurotatoria; Ploima; Brachionidae
Description: 5.8S ribosomal RNA
Rfam family: 5.8S ribosomal RNA
About the family: 5.8S ribosomal RNA (5.8S rRNA) is a component of the large subunit of the eukaryotic ribosome. It is transcribed by RNA polymerase I as part of the 45S precursor that also contains 18S and 28S rRNA.
Source: RNAcentral